GAUGAACGCUGGCGGCGUGCUUAACACAUGCAAGUCGAACGAGAAGUGAAGACGGAAACCUUCGGGCGGAAGGCUUUAUUUCGAGUGGCGGACGGGUGAGUAACGCGUGGGUAACCUGCCUCAUACAGGGGGAUAACAGUUGGAAACGACUGUUAAUACCGCAUAAGACCACAGCACCGCAUGGUGCGGGGGUAAAAACUCCGGUUGUAUGAGAUGGACCCGCGUUCGAUUAGCCAGAUGGCGGGGUAACGGCCCACCACAGCGACGAUCGAUAGCCGAACUGAGAGGAUGGCCGGCGACAUUGGCGCUGGGCCGCGGCCCAGACUCCUACGGGAGGCAGCAGUGGGGAAUAUUGCACCGUGGCGGAAGCCCUGAUGCAGCGACGACGCGUGAGUGAAGAAGUAUUUCGGUAUGUAAAGCUCUAGCAGCAGGGAAGAAAAUGACGGUACCUGAGUAGGAAGCCCCGGCUAACUACGUG
This 478-nucleotide ribosomal RNA is filed under the name uncultured bacterium. Its description in RNAcentral is "partial 16S ribosomal RNA". It matches the Rfam family "Bacterial small subunit ribosomal RNA", at positions 28 to 507 of the family's 1533-position model. The record is from RNAcentral.